AGGAGGAUUUGACAAGGGGGUGGUUAGGGUGAUACAUUGAGACGAGGUUGGAGAUAUAGCUGGGGGCAGAGUUGUGGAUUGCUUUUUAC
Long non-coding RNA from Nanorana parkeri, 89 nucleotides. RefSeq lists it as uncharacterized. The record is from RefSeq and is a predicted model, not a curated record. The transcript is spliced from 3 exons. Lineage: Eukaryota; Metazoa; Chordata; Amphibia; Anura; Dicroglossidae.